Molecule: ribosomal RNA, 463 nt
Filed under: uncultured bacterium
Lineage: Bacteria
Description: partial 16S ribosomal RNA
Rfam family: Bacterial small subunit ribosomal RNA
Source: RNAcentral
CUACGGGGCGCAGCAGUGGGGAAUAUUGCACAAUGGGCGCAAGCCUGAUGCAGCCAUGCCGCGUGUAUGAAGAAGGCCUUCGGGUUGUAAAGUACUUUCAGCGGGGAGGAAGGGAGUAAAGUUAAUACCUUUGCUCAUUGACGUUACCCGCAGAAGAAGCACCGGCUAACUCCGUGCCAGCAGCCGCGGUAAUACGGAGGGUGCAAGCGUUAAUCGGAAUUACUGGGCGUAAAGCGCACGCAGGCGGUUUGUUAAGUCAGAUGUGAAAUCCCCGGGCUCAACCUGGGAACUGCAUCUGUACUGGCAAGCUUGAGUCUCGUAGAGGGGGGUAGAAUUCCAGGUGUAGCGGUGAAAUGCGUAGAGAUCUGGAGGAAUACCGGUGGCGAAGGCGGCCCCCUGGACGAAGACUGACGCUCAGGUGCGAAAGCGUGGGGAGCGAACAGGAUUAGAUACCCGCGUAGUC